CUCGUCAUUUCAUUUCCGUCACAUUCCUGUGGCUUUAUCUUACCCUUGUUUAGAACUUGCCCGAACUGCCCGACUGCCCAACCUCCUUGCCCGCUCUGCCCUACCAUGUACCCAAGUACACCUUUUCUUUAGCCGUCUCUUUCUGUCUCUCUCUCUCUCUUUCUUCGGUUUUUUUUUUGCCGUCUCUCUCUCUAAAAAUCGAGCAACUUUUUUUCUCUCUCGAUUUUCUCUCUUUAAUUUUUUUUUUCUAUAGAUCGCAAGGCGGCUUGGGAAAUUGAACGCGGUGCAUGGAUCUGAGAUUGAAGUAGAUCGGGUAAAGUGGAGAAUCGCGAUCGAAGGGAAUUAGGAUUUUGGUUUGAGAUUGGGGGAAUUAGGGUUUGGUUAAUUGGAAGAUUUUGGUAGAUGGUGAAAGGUAGGGUUUUGGGUGGAUCUAGGGUUUGGAAUUGGUGAAAGAAGGGGGUGGAAUUAAAGAGGGGAAAAGAAGAUAGCAAUAAGGAGGGGGAUUGAUGGUACUCGAAGGGGAAAAUGCAAGGCUAUGCAUGGGCAGGGAGGAGGUGACGAGAGGAAAAAGGCACGGCACAUGUGGACAGUCCCUAAACGUGCAACGGCGGUUCUGAGUGGUGAUGGUGGUGCUUCUCCAUCUUCUUCUUCUUCAUCAUCUACUGUUAAUUUCUUUUCAAAGGUGUGUGGGGCAGUUUUACUACAUUAUAAUUUGGGAUGGACGCAAGAUCAGUGUUGGUGACUGUGCUCUCUUCAAACCAGCCCAAGAUUCUCCACCUUUCAUUGGAAUAAUUCAUUGUCUAACUGCUGGUAAAGAAAAUAAAUUAAAGUUGGGUGUGAAUUGGCUUUAUCGACCUGCCGAAGUAAAACUUGGCAAAGGCAUCCUGUUGGAAGCUGCGCCAAACGAAAUCUUUUAUUCCUUUCACAAGGAUGAGAUUCCUGCUGCAUCGUUACUCCAUCCUUGUAAAGUUGCAUUCCUUCCUAAAGACGUUGAACUUCCAUCAGGGAUUUGUUCAUUUGUGUGCCGGCGAGUUUAUGACGUUACAAACAAGUGUUUAUGGUGGCUAACUGAUCAAGAUUAUAUUAAUGAACGACAAGAAGAAGUAGAUCAGCUAUUAUAUAAGAGACGUUUAGAAAUGCAUGCAACAGUGCAACCGGGUGGCCGUUCUCCAAAGCCAAUGAAUGGUCCGACAUCAACAUCACAGUUAAAACCUGGUUCAGAUAGUGUACAGAACAGUGCUUCCUCAUUUCCUUCUCAGGGUAAGGGAAAGAAAAGGGAGCGUGGGGAUCAAGGCUCCGAGCCUGUUAAACGAGAACGUACUAGUAAAAUGGAUGAUGGGGAUUCUAGUCAUGGUAGACCAGAAAUUAAUUUAAAGUCUGAGAUUGCUAAAGUUACUGAAAAGGGGGGACUAGAAGAUUCUGAAGGAGUUGAGAGGUUGGUUCAGCUUAUGGUGCCUGAGAGAAAUGAGAAGAAAAUAGACUUGGUGAGCCGUUCAAUGCUUGCUGGUGUUAUAGCAGCUACAGACAAGUUUGACUGUCUUAGUCGUUUUGUUCAGCUCAGAGGGUUGCCUGUUUUUGAUGAAUGGCUCCAGGAAGUCCACAAAGGGAAGAUUGGUGAUGGUAGUGUCUCCAAGGAUGAUAGAUCAGUAGACGAUUUUCUUUUAACCUUACUAAAAGCACUUGAUAAGCUACCUGUAAAUCUUACAGCUCUACAGAUGUGUAACAUUGGUAAGUCUGUGAAUCAUUUGCGUAGUCACAAGAAUAUAGAAAUACAGAAGAAAGCGAGGAGUUUAGUUGAUACAUGGAAAAAACGAGUUGAGGCUGAGAUGGAUGCUAAGACUGGUUCAAAUCAGGCUGUUAGCUGGUCUGCAAGACCUCGUCUUUCUGAAGUUUCUCACAGUGGAAGCAAGCACUCUGGGUCAUCUGAGGUUGCCAUGAAGAGUUCAGUAACUCAACUUUCUGCCUCUAAAACUGGUUUGGUUAAGCUUGCUCAAGGAGAGACUGCAAACAAGUCUGCUUCUGCAUCGCCGGGACCUAUAAAGGCAGCAACAUCACCUGCUUCAGCCAGUACAAACUUAAAAGAUGGGCAGGCACGAAAUGCUAUUGUUAGUGGCACUUCUGACCCUCAAACAACCCCAAGGGAUGAGAAAAGCAGCGGUUCUAGUCAGUCCCACAACAAUAGUCAGUCUUGUUCUAGUGAUCAUGCAAAGACUGGGGGGGUUUCUGGAAAGGAGGAUGCAAGAAGUUCUGCUGCUGGUUCAGGGACAGUGUCUAAGAUCUCAGGCAGUUCUUCACGGCACCGGAAAUCCAUUAAUGGUUUCCCAGGACCAUCAGGGGUUCAAAGGGAAACUGGAUCAAGCAAAAAUUCUUCUUUGCACAGAAAUCCUGCUUCAGAAAAAAUAUCACAGUCCGGUUUAACAUGUGAAAAGGCCGUGGAUGCUCCUAUGGCUGAGGGUAAUGGUCAUAAGUUCAUUGUUAAGAUCCCAAAUCAAGGUAGAAGUCCGGCACAAAGUGCCAGUGGAGGAUCUCUUGAAGAUCAUUCUGUCAUGAAUAGCAGAGCUUCUUCUCCUGUGCUUUCAGAGAAGCAUGAACAAUUAGAUUGUAACAUGAAGAAGAGUGAUACUUGCCGGGCAAAUAUUAUCGCUGAUGUGAAUACUGAAUCUUGGCAGAGCAAUGACUUCAAAGAUGUGCUGACUGGGUCUGAUGAGGGAGAUGGUUCACCCACAACUGUUCCAGAUGAAGAAAACUGUAAGACUGGAGAAGAUGCCAGGAAAACAACUGAAGUUACAAAAACGGCUUCCUCAUCUUCUGGAAAUGAACUUAAAUCAGGGAAACUGCAGGAGGCUUCUUUCAGCUCCAUUAACGCUUUAAUUGAAAGUUGUGUCAAGUACUCUGAAGCAAAUGCAUGCGUACCAGUUGGGGAUGAUGCUGGAAUGAAUUUGCUUGCUAGUGUGGCUACUGGAGAGAUUUCUAAGUCUAACGUGGCUUCACCGAUUGAUUCUCCGCAAAGAAACACCCCUGUUUUUGACCCCUCUUCCACAGGCAAUGAUACAAAACUAAAAACUUCUGCUGGGGAUGACGUUGUUCGGGAUCGAAAUCAGUCUGUUGAGGGCACAGAUGAUGAGCAUCUGAAGCAGGGUGUUGUUGCUGGUAAUUCAUGGGCUAACAAUGCAGACAGCAAGACUGGUUCCUCUCAAGAAAAAUCUGGAGGAGAGCUGAAUGAGCAUUUAACUUCAUCAAGUAUGGGUUUGCAACAGACUGCAGACCAAUGUCUUGAAAAUGGUAAAUUAAAGGAAAUUAUAACAGCUGCUUUAGUCAAUUUGCCCUCUGCAAGCACUGUGGAGAAGACUACUGAUAUUGAAGAUUCGAAAGAGCAACUGGAGAAAAAGGCUGGUGAUGUUGAUGAUGAUGGCAGUUUGGAUACUAAAGAAAAGGUGAGUACUUCUGUAGUAAAUGAAGAUAAGAUCAUUGAUCCAGUUGUAAAAGUUGAGAAAGAGGUGGUUGAAGGAUCUUCGUCUGUACCUUCAAUGGAAGUUGAUGCUGAGAACAAGAAGAAUGUUGUCACUGAAGGUUUUGACAGAAGUUCACAGACUCAUCAGAAGUCACCAGCUGUUAUUGGGCAUUCCUCCAAAGGAACAGAUAAAGAAGCAUUGCCAUCUGCUUCUGCUAAAGAUAUGGUUUUGGAAAAUGUUGAUGAAGUGAAAGCUGAGAAGGAUGUUGAGACUGAUGCACGUAGUCAUGCCAGUCAUAAUGAGAAGCAAAAACCUGAGUGGGAAACUGUCACUGCCCAGAAGAAAGGUGAGCACGUGGAGAGUUUAGAAGGUAGUGAAGGUCAUGAACCGUUUGGUGGAGCGUCUCCUUGUAAGGCAUCAACCACAGUAAUGGAAACAGAACAACCUAUGAGGCCAAGGGGAACUAAAUUGACUGUUGUAGAAGCAGAUGAGGCAGAAGAAUGUACAUCAACCACUACAGAUGCUCCCGCUGCAGGUGGUGCAGAUACAGAUGCGAAAGUAGAAUUUGACUUGAAUGAAGGCUUUAAUGUGGAUGAGGGGAAAUUCGGGGAACCUAAUAAAUUGACGGCUCCAGGAUGUUCAGCUCCUGUCCAAUUAAUUAGCCCAUUGCCUUUCACUGUUUCUUCUGUGUCUAGCAGCCUUCCUGCUUCAAUUACUGUUGCUGCUGCUGCAAAAGGGCCCUUUGUUCCCCCAGAUGACCUACUGAGGACUAAAGGGGUGCUUGGCUGGAAGGGAUCAGCAGCCACAAGUGCGUUUCGUCCAGCUGAACCCAGAAAGAUUCUGGAUAUGCCUCUUGUUACAAGUAACGCAUCCAUUCCUGAUGCUACUACCAGGAAACAAAGUCGUCCUCCAUUGGAUAUUGAUUUGAAUGUACCUGAUGAGAGAGUCCUUGAGGAUCUAGCUUCCCAAAAUUCUGCUCAGGGUACAGUCUCUGCACCAGAUCUUACAAAUAAGCGUGAUUUAACAUGUGGGUUGGUGGGUUCUGCAACCAUUCGUUCUUCUGGGGGACUUGAUCUUGAUUUGAAUAGAGUUGAUGAGCCUGCCGAUUUGGGUAGUUACACAACUGGAAAUAGUCGUAGACUGGAUGUCCCUAUGCAGCCUAUAAAAUCAUCAUCAGUUGGUAUUCUUAAUGGUGAGGCAAGUGUCCACAGGGACUUUGAUUUGAACAAUGGACCUGCUGUUGAUGAGGUGAGUGCUGAACCAUCACUAUUUAGCCAGCAUAAUAAAAGCAGCAAUGUGCCAUCUCAACCACUGGUUUCCAGCCUGCGGAUAAACAAUACUGAGAUGGCAAAUUUCUCAUCAUGGUUUCCUACAGGGAAUACAUACUCAGCUGUCACUAUUCCAUCAAUCUUGCCUGAUAGAGAACAGCCUUUUCCAAUUGUUGCAACUGGUGGACCACAGAGGGUGUUGGCUCCCCCUACUGGCGCCGCCCCUUUUAAUCCUGAUGUGUAUAGGGGACCUGUAUUGUCAUCUUCACCAGCAAUGCCCUUCCCAUCGACUCCUUUCCAAUAUCCCAUGUUCCCCUUUGGAACAACAUUUCCUCUUCCUUCGACCAGCUUUUCUGGUGGUUCAACAACUUAUGUCGAUUCAUCUCCUGGUGGGAGGCUUUGUUACCCCCCAGUCCAUUCUCAAUUGUUAGGACCUGCUGCUGCUGUUCCUUCCCAUUACUCAAGGCCCUAUGUUAUUAGCCUUCCAGACAGUAGUAAUAAUAGUGGUGCUGAGAGUGGUAGGAAAUGGGGAAGGCAAGGUCUAGACUUAAAUUCCGGGCCUGGAGUUCCAGACUUUGAAGGAAGAGAUGAGACAGCACCUCUUGCAUCUAGGCAACUAUCUGUUUCCAGUUCACAGGCCCUGGCAGAGGGGCAAGCUAGAAUGUAUCAGGUGCCAGGUGGUGUUUUGAAAAGGAAGGAACCUGAGGGAGGAUGGGAUUACAAGCAAUCUUCAUGGCAGUAGGAAUCCUCCAAUGUCACAAUCUGGUGACCCAUGAAAGCUUUUCUUCAAGGAUAGGCAUUGGCUAACCCCCCCAGAGGUCAUCUAACCUUGUGCUGUUAGAGGAUGGGUGUUUUAAUUCAUGCCAACUUUGCUAUUCAAUGUUAAAAGGGUAUUGGCACUGAGACAGACUGCUUUGAAGUAUGAGGUUGCACUUUCACCUGACGACACCAGUAGCAACUAUGUCAUUCAUCUUUCCAAGUGUAUUUGCUCCUGCUUCCGCUUCAUAUUAUGUGUUGAUUGGAGUAGGGAGGGAGGUAGGUAGGUGGGUAGGUCAAACAGACUUAAGAAGCCAAGCCUUGUUUAUAUUCUGGAUUCUGGAACGCUUUGUGGUCAGCAACUGGCAUAUAUUCACAUGAAUUUUCCAUUUGCCUAUAUUUUAU
Durio zibethinus is the source of this 5881-nucleotide RNA transcript. RefSeq lists it as uncharacterized. Lineage: Eukaryota; Viridiplantae; Streptophyta; Magnoliopsida; Malvales; Malvaceae. The record is from RefSeq and is a predicted model, not a curated record.